RNAcentral lists this unclassified non-coding RNA (330 nucleotides) under soil metagenome. RNAcentral's name for it is "partial contains 5.8S ribosomal RNA, internal transcribed spacer 2, and large subunit ribosomal RNA". The stretch from base 1 to 120 matches the Rfam family "5.8S ribosomal RNA", at positions 35 to 154 of the family's 154-position model. The record is from RNAcentral.
GAUGAAGAACGCAGCGAAAUGCGAUAAGUAAUGUGAAUUGCAGAAUUCAGUGAAUCAUCGAAUCUUUGAACGCACAUUGCGCCCCCUGGUAUUCCGGGGGGCAUGCCUGUUCGAGCGUCAUUUCACCACUCAAGCCUCGCUUGGUAUUGGGCAACGCGGUCCGCCGCGUGCCUCAAAUCGACCGGCUGGGUCUUCUGUCCCCUAAGCGUUGUGGAAACUUUCGCUAAAGGGUGUUCGGGAGGCUACGCCGUAAAACACCCCCAUUUCUCAGGUUGACCUCGGAUCAGGUAGGGAUACCCGCUGAACUUAAGCAUAUCAAUAAGCGGAGGA